Molecule: ribosomal RNA, 253 nt
Filed under: uncultured bacterium
Lineage: Bacteria
Description: partial 16S ribosomal RNA
Rfam family: Bacterial small subunit ribosomal RNA
Source: RNAcentral
AACGUAGGUGGCGAGCGUUAUCCGGAUUUACUGGGCGUAAAGCGCGUUCAGGCGGUUUGGCAAGUCGGGCAUGAAAUCUCUUGGCUCAACCAGGAGGGGCUGUCCGAUACUUCCAGACUUGAGGGCAGUAGAGGAGGGUGGAAUUCCGGGUGUAGUGGUGAAAUGCGUAGAUAUCCGGAGGAACACCAGUGGCGAAAGCGGCCCUCUGGGCUGCUCCUGACGCUCAAACGCGAAAGCUAGGGGAGCGAACGGG